Molecule: unclassified non-coding RNA, 305 nt
Filed under: uncultured Ascomycota
Lineage: Eukaryota; Fungi; Ascomycota
Description: partial contains 5.8S ribosomal RNA, internal transcribed spacer 2, and large subunit ribosomal RNA
Rfam family: 5.8S ribosomal RNA (bases 1-102)
Source: RNAcentral
AUGCGAUAAGUAGUGUGAAUUGCAGAAUUCAGUGAAUCAUCGAAUCUUUGAACGCACAUUGCGCCCGCCAGUAUUCUGGCGGGCAUGCCUGUUCGAGCGUCAUUUCAACCCUUGGGCCCCCGUUGCUCAGCGUUGGGAGACCGCGCCUCACCGCGCGCCUCCCCAAAGUCAGUGGCGGAGCCGGCUGGCGCCCCAGACGUAGUAGAUCUCUAUCUCGCCUGCAGCGCCCGCCCGCCUCCCGCCGUAAAACACCCCCCAUCCAAAAGGUUGACCUCGGAUCAGGUAGGAAUACCCGCUGAACUUAA